Molecule: unclassified non-coding RNA, 331 nt
Filed under: soil metagenome
Description: partial contains 5.8S ribosomal RNA, internal transcribed spacer 2, and large subunit ribosomal RNA
Rfam family: 5.8S ribosomal RNA (bases 1-120)
Source: RNAcentral
GAUGAAGAACGUAGCGAAAUGCGAUAAGUAAUGUGAAUUGCAGAAUUCAGUGAAUCAUCGAAUCUUUGAACGCACAUUGCGCCCCCUGGUAUUCCGGGGGGCAUGCCUGUUCGAGCGUCAUUUCACCACUCAAGCCUCGCUUGGUAUUGGGCAACGCGGUCCGCCGCGUGCCUCAAAUCGACCGGCUGGGUCUUCUGUCCCCUAAGCGUUGUGGAAACUAUUCGCUAAAGGGUGUUCGGGAGGCUACGCCGUAAAACAACCCCAUUUCUAAGGUUGACCUCGGAUCAGCUAGGGAUACCCGCUGAACUUAAGCAUAUCAAUAAGCGGAGGA